GGCGUCGUGCGCCGAGCGGCUAAGGCAGUGGAUUGCAAAUCCAUUUUUCGCGGGUUCGAGUCCCGCCGACGCCU
RNAcentral lists this transfer RNA (74 nucleotides) under Pirellulaceae bacterium. Its description in RNAcentral is "tRNA-Cys". It matches the Rfam family "tRNA". Rfam says of the family: Transfer RNA (tRNA) molecules are approximately 80 nucleotides in length. Their secondary structure includes four short double-helical elements and three loops (D, anti-codon, and T loops). The record is from RNAcentral. Lineage: Bacteria; Pseudomonadati; Planctomycetota; Planctomycetia; Pirellulales; Pirellulaceae.